CUUCGGGGUACUCGAGCGGCGAACGGGUGAGUAACACGUGAGUAAUCUGCCCCAGGCUCUGGGAUAGCCACCGGAAACGGUGAUUAAUACCGGAUAUGACAACCGAUCGCAUGAUCUGGUUGUGGAAAGUUUUUCGGCCUGGGAUGUGCUCGCGGCCUAUCAGCUUGUUGGUGAGGUAAUGGCUCACCAAGGCUUCGACGGGUAGCCGGCCUGAGAGGGUGACCGGCCACACUGGGACUGAGACACGGCCCAGACUCCUACGGGAGGCAGCAGUGGGGAAUAUUGGACAAUGGGCGGAAGCCUGAUCCAGCAACGCCGCGUGAGGGAUGACGGCCUUCGGGUUGUAAACCUCUUUCAGCACAGACGAAGCGAAAGUGACGGUAUGUGCAGAAGAAGGACCGGCCAACUACGUGCCAGCAGCCGCGGUAAUACGUAGGGUCCGAGCGUUGUCCGGAAUUAUUGGGCGUAAAGGGCUCGUAGGCGGUCUGUCGCGUCGGGAGUGAAAACCAGGUGCUUAACACCUGGCCUGCUUCCGAUACGGGCAGACUAGAGGUACUCAGGGGAGAAUGGAAUUCCUGGUGUAGCGGUGAAAUGCGCAGAUAUCAGGAGGAACACCGGUGGCGAAGGCGGUUCUCUGGGAGUAUCCUGACGCUGAGGAGCGAAAGUGUGGGGAGCGAACAGGAUUAGAUACCCUGGUAGUCCACACCGUAAACGUUGGGGCGCUAGGUGUGGGACACAUU
RNAcentral lists this ribosomal RNA (740 nucleotides) under Nocardioides albus. RNAcentral's name for it is "bacterial SSU rRNA". It matches the Rfam family "Bacterial small subunit ribosomal RNA", at positions 78 to 833 of the family's 1533-position model. Lineage: Bacteria; Bacillati; Actinomycetota; Actinomycetes; Propionibacteriales; Nocardioidaceae. The record is from RNAcentral.